UGGUUUCUAGGCGGUGUUUUCAAAUAACUUUAAAAAAAAAAACAUGAAAAUGAAAAAACAUUGACUGUGUCCUCACCUUCCUUGCAGGUGUUACCCUGGUAACCAGGUUUACAGACACAGGUGCCAUGGCGACGGUGACAUUCCUGAGUGUGCUGCUGGUCACACUGACACUCCUCAGAGCAGCCGGGUCCGAAAGUCCACUUUGGACAUGCUGAAGGUUUUCCAUUGGAAUGUGACUCCCGCUCGCCCACAGGAUUGCUGAGACUCACGGAUGCAGGACUGUCGGUCCUCGUCCAGACGGAAACCCCGGCGGCAGAAACAUUGGAAGGAACCGGCGCUGUUCUGGCAUGUGUGAUCACAACCACCGUUCGCAGCCAGACACUCAUCCACAUCUAAACAACACGGACACAAAACAGACUCAAAUACUUUUGCUCCAUUAAGGGAAAUAGUCCACAAAAGCCAUUAAGCAAUUUAAUCUGAUCGGUGUUCACAGAAACAGAGACAGCAUUGUGUAACUCAAAAUGGAACUUAACUCAAUUCAACAGAAAUGAAUAUUCUGUCUCAUCCAUAUUUUGACUGGAGGGUUAAACAUACCAUCACAGCUACAUCCGUCUGAGUUGAGUCUGUAUCCUGCUGAGCAGUAGCAUUCAUAACCCCCGGGGUAGUUGGUGCAGUCCUGCUCACAACAGGAGCUCUGCUCUCCACACUCAUCAACAUCUGACAAACACAGCAAGCAGGAAGACAGAAAUUACGAUCCAACUGUAGUGAUGUGCUGCCCUGCUCACUGAGAGAACCGUUUUAUGGGGUAAUGUAAACUGUACCGGUUUAACAGCCAAUUAGGGUUAAAGUUACAGGAUUAGAUUAGAGCCCUAAAAUCACUCAAUUCCCCCUAAAGUGCUAAAACAUCCUUGGGUCCACAAGUAAACAUUUUUCAGCAGUUCAGAGAUCCCACAGAGUCUCAUUUCUCUUUUACUACCAACUGCACUUACUGAGCAAAUACAGCAUCAUAAGAAAGACUAUUGACAAUAAUGCCUAUUUUAUGCACAUCUAGAAAUACUAUACAUUUUUGACUGUCCUAAGAAAGUCUCUUAAUAUAUAAUAAUCUAGCAUCAAAUAUGAUUACUAAAUAAUGAGCCUUUAGAAACCCUCAUCAAAUAUGCAUUCAGUCACUAGUUACAGUGUUCAAACUCUUACAGUGUGAGCUGGUUGAGUUGUAACAUUUUAAAUGAUAAACUUUGUAAAUGACUUGCUGUUUGAUCACAAAUUAAACCUCAAAGAUUAAAAGACUGCUAUUCAUGGAAAUAAAACUCCAAUUUUAACUGGUACAGUAGAAUACACAUUUACUCCAGCUUAAGAACGACCUACAGCAAUAGUUUUACAAAAAAUAAAAUAAAAAGAGCAACAGACGACUAAGCAGCAGGAAAGGAUUUCAGCUGCUGUGAUUCAUUAAUGAAGAUUUAUUCAGUUUUGCAAUUUACUUUGUCUUCGAGGAUUUAUAAUCUCUUCAAAUAUGUUUGAAGUUUCUAAAAUAUGAUCCAAAAAUGGAUCCAAAAUAGAAAUUACUAUUACAGACGAACUCUAAUCUAAAUCACUAACACCCAUUACUACAUAAAACACUAAUGAUACAAAAACAAUUCAGUAAGUAGUUGAUGGAAAGUUUCAGUAAACGGGUGUUGCUUUAAUGCAUAUUAUGUACCGAUCAGCCACAACAUUAUGACCACCGAUAGGUGAAGUGAUUAAUAUUGAUCAUCUUUUAUAAUGUAACGCUCUGCUGGGAAACAUUGAGUCCUGACAUUCAUGUGGAUGUUUGACAUGUACAACCCACCAAAACACUGCAGGUCAAGCAACUCCCAUUGCAACAGCAGUCCUUGAUGCCAGUUGACACCUUCAGCAGGACAAUGCACCCCGACACACCACAAAAACUGCUCAGGAGUGACCCGGAGAACACAACAGAGCUCAGCUGUUCACUCAGGUUCCACACUAUUCAGAUCCAGAUCUUACUGAGCAUCUGUGGGAUGUACCAGGAUAAGCCUGAUCUAGGUAGAUCCCACCCUGCAACCCACAGGACCCACAGGAUUCACUGCCACCAUCCUGGUGCUACAGAACAUCCCCAGUGGUCCUGUGUUCAUGCCCCACUGGGUCAGAGGAGGUUUAGCAGCAUAAAGGAGGCCAACACAAUAUUAGGCACGUGGUCAUAAUGUUAUGCCUGAUCGGUGUAUAUGCUGUUUUAAGUGUGUCUUUAUGUCAGAGUGAGUGCAUCACAGUAUCUUACCAACGCAGGUUUUAAGGUCAUCAUCCAGCCUGUAACCAUGGUUACAGGAGCAAACAGGCCCGCUGGUUGAAUGUUGGCAGCGAUGCGAACAUCCGCCGUUGUUGUUCUCACAGCUGUUCACGAUCUCCAUCUCAAUUCCUUUUAAUUUACAGAGAAAUCAGAAUGAUCACAAUUAAAUGUGUCAUACUAACUGAUUGUAAAGGUUUCUACACAAGUGAUAACAAAGAGAUACAAAGAUUGAAACUGACUGUAACACUGUUUUCCAUCAGAUCCCAGUUCAUAGGCGGCGUUGCAAACACAGGCGUAAGAGCCCAGUGUGUUGUGGCAGCCAUGAGCACAGUUGGCCUCUUCUGUCUCACAUUCAUCAACAUCUGGAGGAAAAUACAUUCAAAAAUCUGGUCAGCACAGAUUCAUUUACAUUUACAGUAUGUUUCUUACAAACCAAAAACUAGAACUACUACUUAUAUGUUAAUGUUAAGUGAAAACACUGGCUUCCAAUUGAAGGAUCUUGUUUUCAUUUAAAAAAUUACACUAUCAUCAUAUAAUGGGUCUACGUCUAAAGUUUUUGUAUUUUUGAUUACAUUUUCUCCCAAGUUCCUUUUCAUUUUCGACCUUGGAUACAGUAGUUGACAGAACAAUUUGACAAAAGGGACCAUUUAUCUGUAAUUUUGAAGCUUCAAACUGCAUCACACAAUGAAACACGAUCUGUUCAAAUUUUCUUUUUUCUUUUGUUCUUAAUCUUCAUUUUGGAUAUAAAGUGAAUGCAUUCAGA
This is a long non-coding RNA of Amphiprion ocellaris (clown anemonefish), 3044 nucleotides long. RefSeq lists it as uncharacterized. NCBI's taxonomy places the organism in Eukaryota, Metazoa, Chordata, Actinopteri, Pomacentridae. The record is from RefSeq and is a predicted model, not a curated record. The transcript is spliced from 2 exons.